This 468-nucleotide ribosomal RNA is filed under the name uncultured bacterium. RNAcentral describes it as "partial 16S ribosomal RNA". It matches the Rfam family "Bacterial small subunit ribosomal RNA", at positions 28 to 507 of the family's 1533-position model. The record is from RNAcentral.
GACGAACGCUGGCGGCGUGCUUAACACAUGCAAGUCGAACGGAAAGGCUCCAGCUUGCUGGAGUACUCGAGUGGCGAACGGGUGAGUAACAAGUGGGUGAUCUGCCCUGCACUUCGGGAUAAGCCUGGGAAACUGGGUCUAAUACCGGAUAGGACCGCACUUUGGUGUCUGUGGUGGACAGGUUUUUCUGGUGUGGGCUGAGCUCGCGGCCUAUCAGUUUGUUGGUGGGGUAAUGGCCUACCAAGACGGCGACGGGUAGCCGGCCUGAGAGGGUGGACGGUCACAUUGGGACUGAGAUACGGCCCAGACUCCUACGGGAGGCAGCAGUGGGGAAUAUUGCACAAUGGGGGAAACCCUGAUGCAGCGCCGCCGCGUGGGGGAUGAAGGCCUUCGGGUUGUAAACUCCUUUCGCUAGGGACGAAGCUUUUUGUGACGGUACCUGGAGAAGAAGCACCGGCUAACUACGUG